RNAcentral lists this long non-coding RNA (448 nucleotides) under Nicotiana benthamiana. Its description in RNAcentral is "long non-coding RNA (NBEN_LNC019197)". Lineage: Eukaryota; Viridiplantae; Streptophyta; Magnoliopsida; Solanales; Solanaceae. The record is from RNAcentral.
GAUUCCUGACAGUAAAUUUGAUAGACUGAGUUCAAAUGAUGCUUGGCGGGGGUUUGAAGGCCCCAUGGUGCAUGCGGAUAGAGAGGAUAUAACUGAUUCUUCUGAUCAAAAUGCCACUGCUGGUGCAUCUAGCCGAACCUCAUCUGACACAAGACGCCGCCGCUUUAACAUGUCAUCUUAUAAACAACGGGCCGAAGCCCUGGAGGGACUACUUGAGUUCAGUGCUAGACUUGCCCCCUGGUGCAUGCGGAUAGAGAGGAUAUAACUGAUUCUUCUGAUCAAAAUGCCACUGCUGGUGCAUCUAGCCGAACCUCAUCUGACACAAGACGCCGCCGCUUUAACAUGUCAUCUUAUAAACAACGGGCCGAAGCCCUGGAGGGACUACUUGAGUUCAGUGCUAGACUCUUGCAAGAAGAUAGAUUUGAUGAACUUGGUGUCUUAUUGAAGC